CCAGCUGCUGCCUAAUGGAGUCCAGGCGCUCGCGUCACAGGAAAUGCCUAUACUGCCCUCCUCACUCACUUCCGGUGGCAGGUCAAAAGAAUACAGCUCAAGGUGAUAGUAUGAAGCAGAUCUAUUUGGCAUCUGUAAGGCAUUGGAAGUUGCAUCUCUUGUGGAAGGAUCUAAUACCAUGAUCAGAAGAACUUUGGAUACGUCUUUUCACUGUGACGUUGCGGUAUACGCUUGACAAGUUUUGAAAAGAGAUUUUUCUACCGACUCUACCGACUAACAUUUCGUCUGUGAAGCCAGGAGUCUCCGUAAAGGUUAAAAAUAAUUCAGCUGUAUUGUGUUGAACUUGAUUGAAGUGUCGUGAACAGUGUCUGGAGGGCAGAAGAACCAGUUCUGUCUUGUUGCGAUGGGUUUAGUCUGUUUACUUUCCUGGUGCCCCGUCGCUGAAGCUGGGGCUGAGAGGCCUGCUGAGGAAUGUUUCUUCCGGAGUUCCGACAGGCUCAGCUAUUUGUCCCAGCCUCCGAAGCUGCUUGGCUACAGCCAUCUGGUCCCUCCAAGUCUCUCCUGCUGAGUGGUGUCUCCAAAUAUCUUCCCAGAGAGAGGACAGAAUCUCCAACAAAAUCUAUAAGGCCCACACAAAGUGCUAUAAGAAUUCAGAGGACAGAGAGAACAUUUCUGGCAGUGGACAGAGUCCUGAGUGAGCACAGAACGCAUUAUGGAAUCUGGACAUGAGGUGAGUCUCAAAGGACUGGGAAUAUUUGUUAGGGAGCAAUUGAUGGAUGUGUGUUGGGGUGGGUGUCCUCACCGGGGGACAUGCCAGAUGAGGGGGUGGCAGGAGUCCCAGCUCAAGGGUUGAAAUGCCAGCCGGAGAGCAGACCUAUUUGGCCAAACCGUGAGAGAGUGAGAGGUAAGAUCAGAAAUGCAUAUGGGAUCAGUGGGUGGGAGCCAAGUAUCAACGGUCCUGUUCAUUAUUGGGAAUUUCUGAUGAUUUUGGAUGUUAUCAAAGAGAUGCUCUAGGGAGGUUAACAGAGAGAUGGUAUGCAAUGGUGGAGGGUG
RNAcentral lists this long non-coding RNA (1053 nucleotides) under Physeter macrocephalus (sperm whale). RNAcentral describes it as "Physeter catodon (sperm whale) lncRNA (ENSPCTG00005000622.1)". The record is from RNAcentral. Lineage: Eukaryota; Metazoa; Chordata; Mammalia; Artiodactyla; Physeteridae.